Molecule: ribosomal RNA, 100 nt
Filed under: Araneus ventricosus
Lineage: Eukaryota; Metazoa; Arthropoda; Arachnida; Araneae; Araneidae
Source: RNAcentral
AUGAUCAUACCGUGCUGAAAGCACUGGUUCUCGUCUGAUCACCACAGUCAAGCAGCAUCGAGCGCGGUCAGUACUUCGGGGGUGACCACGUGGGAACAGC